AAAACGUAUUUUGAUUUAACCCGGACGCUUUUACGUUUUCAAAAGAAGAAAACGUACUCUUGCCAGGCUCUUUAGAAAGAUUUACCCCGAAGGGGUAUGUUCUAUUCCUGGGCGUUGAUUUUGAAUCUGACGGCGCAGAAUCGAUCGAGGGAGAGAGAGGAGGGGGGUGGCCGGCCGGAACAGGAGUACUGGCGGCGGCGCCAUGGCCAGCCCGGCCGAACCUCGCCGGAGACGGCGGCUACGGCGCUACGGAGCACCAUUUUCCAAAUCGCGAGCACUAGGGAAAAGAGGAGCACGAGGCGAGUUCAUUCCCGAACUCAGCAAGGCCGGGGAAAUGACCGACACGACGGACCACGGUGGCGCCAUGGCCGACGCCCACGGUGCACGCGAACAAGGCCCUAGAGGCCACGAAAUGGCGCAAGAGAAGCACAGAGAGAAAGAGGGGGAGAAGGAGAUGCUCACCACGGUGAAAACAGAGACAAAGGCGGCUUAAAUCGCAGGGGCGACGCGAAGCCGGCGAAUUUCUCCGGCGACGGUUCUCCCUGCGCGCUCGCGGUUGAGAGUAGAGGCGAGGAGAGGGGAAAUGGGGAGGGGAAGGAGGCGCGUGGCUCUACCCACCUCUUAUAGGAGCGCGAGGGGGAGAAGAGGGGAUCGUGGGCGCGGUGAGGGGGGGGGGACGGCUCGGCGGUUGAAAGCAGAGAGAAGAGAGGGGAGAGAGCGGGCGGCAGUUGGAGAAGAGGAAGCUGACAGGCGGGCCCGGCCUGUCAGCGGGUGAGGAGAGGGGAAGGCGGAAAGUGGCCGGCUGGGUCGCAGCCCAGGAAAGAGAAAGGGGGCGCGGGGGGGGGAGACUGGGCCGAGCAGGCCGAGAGCAGAAAGGGGAGAAAAAAGACAAAAAAAUAAAAUAAAUAAAUAAAUCCAUUUUCUUUUUCAAAUACAUUUUCCAAAUGCAUUUUUCCAAUUGAAUUGAGCACAUUGACAUUUUGUUUUUAAAACAAUCAUCACCAUAAAAAAUGCAGCAACAUGUAUGCAUCAAAAAAAAUUCUAAACUUAUAUUAAUUAUUAUUAUUAUUUUUCUAAUUCUCCAAAUUUAUUUAUUUUUCCUAUAUUUUGAUGCACACAAAAUUGACUAUAAAAUCAAAUUCAACUAUUUAAAAACAAGCUAAUUUUAGGGUGUUACAAUUCUACCCCCCUUAAAAUGAAUCUCGUCCUCGAGAUUCGGAGGAGGCUCAGAUCCUUUGAGAGAAACAUGAAAAUAUCUUGAUACCCCUUUCAACUUCACAACUUGCAUACCAAAUGUAAACACUUAUACCUCAAGGUCACACCUCGUGAACAUAAUUUCCAUUGAAUAACUAUUAUUCAUAAGUGACCAAAGUCCAUCUUGACUACUAAUUUCUUUUAGCUUACAACUCCAAGAGACACGGAAACUUAAUAUGCAUUUGCCUCGUCAGGUAGGAGUGGACCACCGUGAUACUCCAUUCUUUUUCCUGACAGUGCUGUUAAGAGCAUUUUGUACUGGGUACCAUAGAUCACUCCUUUGUGUGCACACAACCAUCCAUUACCAAGGACCAAGGGAAUACCAAGCGACUCUAGCACAAUGAGGGUUACAGUGAAGUUUUCCUUGUCUAUGAUCAUAUUGAUAUUUGAGCACACCUGAUCUGCUUGUAUUUCUCCCAUUGGGGUAUGCACUAACAAAGGCUUCCUCGUUGGGCACUUCAUCCUCUCGAUUGUCUUUAUGAGGUCGGUGGAAAUGAAAGAAUGUGAAGCACUCGGGUCAAACAGAGCAAAAACUAGCACUGAGUCUACUUGAAUAUAGCCACCAACCACUUCGGUAGCUCCAUGAAUGUUAUGCCUAUCCACAUUGCUCAGUCUUCCAUUGAUAUAGUCUCGUUGCACCUUACUUCCAUGAGCAGACUUCUUACGGCUUUUCCUUUUUCUCUUUCACCGUUGUGGAUUCUGAUUUGUUUCACUUCCAACUUUCUCUUCAGUACCAUUAUUUUGAUAGUACUCAGUUUCAUCAUACUCAUAACAUCCAUCAAGGGUAGGAUCAUCAUCCUCUUCCCACGUAUCAGUAAGAGGCAUCAUAUAGGGCUCCUGAUCCACGGGAUACUACACUCCCUGUCAUCAAGUGACCCACGUCAAUGACACGAGAAGGAGAGAUGAUCAUAUUCAUAGAAUAUCUCACGAGACAACUCUCACUUCAAGAUAAGUUGAAAAUGCAUCAACCCGUGAUAUCAAGGUUCUAACCCCCUUAAGAAAGGUCGACUAGGAGGCACAAGGAAGGUAGCUUGCAUUUUUUUUGACAAGUUAUCUUGCAUUGAGACCUUUUUGACAUCACUAGGAACUUAUGUGCAAGGAUGAAACAUACAUCCUAAAAUUUCCUCACGAUAUGAAAAUUACUAGUGCAGUAAAAUAGACAUAACUCUUGUUCUGUUAACCCAAUAGGGCCAUAGCUUAUACCGUUAGAAAGCUUAGAAAAUUUUCUACAAACUUUCUGUAGAACACUUUUCCAAAUUCUAUAGUUAUAUUUGUCCAAAACAGCAGGCAACCAAAACUGGUCCAGAUUCUUGACAGCACAUCUGUAUCGUCUUGUGAUUUUUGUAACUUCCAAACCGUAAUAGCUAUGGGGGUGAUUCUUGAGGUUAGAGAAAAAUCCAGAAGUGUAUUAUCAUCCAGCAUUUUCUCAUGAUUUGUGGUCAUCCCGGAUCAAAGAUAUGAACUGAUAAAGAAGUGAUACUCCGGAAAGGCAGGAUAAGAUAACAAGAGAAAAAUCAAAACCCAACUAUUUAUGUCAUUAAUCCUUAUGCCUUAGACAUAUAAACUAGAUGAAAUUGUGAAGAAACCCACAAGAUCAUUACACUCAUUACAAAGAUCCAAAUCAAACAUAAUCAUAAAGACAAUUCAACCAAGCAGUAAAGGUUCACAAGGCACACAAACUCGACUUUCGCUGCUAGCGUUUUUAUUACACAAGGGCACAAACUCCUAUAUCUUAAACUCAGUGUGGCUUCUUUCAUGAUACUACUGUUGGUUCUUCUGUGGACAAGACUUUACAUAGUGUCCUUCCUAUCGGCAGUGAUAACACUUUCUUUUAGCUGGAUCCCUUGUGAUAUCAUUUUCCACUGAGGUGUUGCUCGGUGUGUUAUCAGCUCGCUGACACUGAAGGUUUGUCUCUGGCUGGCUAGCUUUCUUCCUAACUUGGUUGAUCCUUCUAGGUUGAAACUCUUUAUAAGUGAUGGUCCAUCCAUCUAUGCAUACCUCAUGAGCAGUGGGGUUAGCUUGCGAAGUUUCUUCAUCUCCAAGGUUUGGAUUUUCAUGGCCAGAGUUCAAAGCUAAAUGUGACAACUUAGGAUUUGAAUGUUGUUCAUUCCCCAAUGCUGGCUCUAGUGAUUUUUCCUUAUUCUUCUUAUCCUCAUUAGUCCCAGAAUUUGGUUUUACCUUAGCUUCCUUUUUAAAUGACCUAUUCCGACGACAAGGAAGACCAUAAUACCUACAGCAAUGGCAUUGGUCCUGAUAUCCCGAUGUAUUUCUACCAACAGCUCCAUGAGUUCUCACAUUUUUCCAAGCUUCUGCUACUUGUCACUUCACUGGUCCUGAGAUGCACUGCUGAGAGUUCCCAUUCUGAUUCAUUCCUUCCACUACUUCCUUUUGCAUAGAUAGAAGCUUCUCCUUGUCAAAUGCUUUUACGGGUGGCAUCUCUGAGUCCUUUUGUUCAUUCAUGCCAUAGGUCUCCUCGUUAUGAGCCAUCUAAAUAGACAAGGUGGAUGGAUUUAGAAUAGAGACAAAGUUUUUAUAAUAGAAUAGGGCAGAGGUAAGCAUAAUUUUUAGCAAUUAUCAAGGUUAAGGUGAAAGCAAGAAGUAAGGAGAGAUAGAAGCAUGCUAAAACGUCCGGUUCUAACUAGGGUUGCGUCCUACAGUCAGCAUUGCUUUGAUACCACUUUGUAACACCUGAUUUUAAGAACAAAAUCAGAUAUGCACAAUAUGUGAGUUUUAGAAGACAAACCUCACAUAUAGCUACAAAUAAGGGGUAAUAUCAAAGGAUAAUGCAUAAAUUAUAUAGCAUAGAUAAUAAAUUAGAAACAACCUUGGGCAGCAAACACGGAAGAGAACUCCAAACUAUGGGUGUUAACCUCACUCUAUAGAAUCCAACUGACUAGUUGAUCACAAGCCCAAAACUUCUCCUAAGGUGUGGGGGAGAUAGCAAGAGUGAGUUCAAGACGAACUCCGCAAGUAUAACAACUAUAUUGUAUAGAUCCCACAAUCUCAUGAUCAAUGUGACAUAAAUAAUAUAGAGCAUUAAACAAUAAUCAUGAGCAUAUUUACACAACAAGAUUCAUCACCCUUAAUGUAAGAAUCCCUAGGGCCGCUCGUGACCGUGAGCACGGCUAGUAUACAAGUUUUUAACACUCUGCAGAGGUUGUACAUCUUUACCCAUGAGUCAUGAUUUACCCUUUCGCCCGAGGUGAUCAGCCUCGUAACCCACUACUAAGGUUGGUCGGCAGGGAUCACUAUGAAGUCUUUCAAAGGUUCGUCUAACAAGUUAGGGCCACUUGGUUUCGGUAGUCAGUCCAUGUGAUUCUACCCCGCAGGGGAUCCACGGUCUGCUAUCCCCCAUUUGCGCCACACGGGUAACCUCUAACAAGCUAGAAAAGUUACUCAUAUUUGACUAAAGCCAGAGCCAUUAUAGCCCUCAUGGUUGCACUUUCAUCCCGGUUAUCACUUACGAAUAAAUCCUCAAGUUGUUAAAAAGUCAUUAUUAUCAUUUGUUGCUUUAUAUCAAUCUGUCACAAGAUCAUGGUCAUAGAAUUAAAACCCAAAUGCUAUACUUGCCUUGAUCCAAUUGCUCCUGCUGGUCCUGCUGAUUUUACUUGCUUCCACGGCUCUGAUCUUGACCACCGAAGUAAUGCCCACUGACUAAACUCAGUCACCAAUCAUCAACACACAAGCAAUCGGGGACAGACAUAUACGAAGCAAACAAGAUUACAAUUAGAACAGUACACCAGCAGUAAAUAAAUGUAAAUAAAAGUUUUCCAAAAUCAUCUACACGCUGCUACGAUCACGUCAACGGGAAAUUCACGGAAAACGAAGUUACGACGCGAAAUCUACGCAUUAAACGGGACUACAAAGGCUAUCUAUGGACUUGUAUUUAUCUAGGAAACCUAACCGUGGUGAACUAGACAACAAUGGUACCAACGCGAAGUUUAUGAAAUUAUGAAACUAACGCAACUUGAACGGAUCGAAUCGUAGCUAAAACAGAGAAGAUACGAAUUUUCUAAGGUUUUAUAUAGAAAAGUAUUUAAUUAAAUAGGGUCACAAAAUUAAAAAGUUCAAAUUGGUGAAACAAUUAGACUAACAUGUAAAGCUCGUGAUUACGAAUCUAACGCAAUUUGAACGGGUCAAAUCGGAGUUAAAACGAGCAUUUUAUGACUAAAACAAAAUCAGUGGCAAACUUGUAAAUACUGAAAACGUAUUUUGAUUUAACCUGGAAGCUUUUACGUUUUCAAAAGAAGAAAAUGUACUCCUGCAAGGCGCUUUGGACCGCGGGUUCUAAUCUCAGAAAACCGAGGGGCUCUUUAGAAAGAUUUACCCCGAAGGGGUAUGUACUAUUCCUGGGCGUUGAUUUUGAAUCUGACGGCGCAGAAUCGAUCGAGGGAGAGAGAGGAGGGGGGUGGCCGGCCGGAACAGGAGUACUGGCGGCGGCGCCAUGGCCAGCCCGGCCGAACCUUGCCGGAGACGGCGGCUACGGCACUACGGAGCACCAUUUUCCAAAUCGCGAGCACUCGGGAAAAGAGGAGCACGAGGCGAGUUCAUUCCCGAACUCAGCAAGGCUGGGGAAAUGACCGACACGACGGACCACGGCGGCGCCAUGGCCGACGCCCACGGUGCACGCGAACAAGGCCCUAGAGGCCACGAAACGGCGCAAGAGAAGCACAGAGAGAAAGAGGGGGAGAAGGAGAUGCUCACCACGGUGAAAAUGGAGACUAAGGCGGCUCAAAUCGCAGGGGCGACGCGCGGCGGGCGAAUUUCUCCGGCGACGGUUGUCCCUGCGCGCUCGCGGUUGAGAGUAGAGGCG
RNAcentral lists this long non-coding RNA (6067 nucleotides) under Sorghum bicolor (sorghum). RNAcentral's name for it is "long non-coding RNA (SBIC_LNC000836)". Lineage: Eukaryota; Viridiplantae; Streptophyta; Magnoliopsida; Poales; Poaceae. The record is from RNAcentral.